ACGAACGCUGGCGGCGUGCCUAAUACAUGCAAGUAGAACGCUGAAGAGAGGAGCUUGCUCUUCUUGGAUGAGUUGCGAACGGGUGAGUAACGCGUAGGUAACCUGCCUUGUAGCGGGGGAUAACUAUUGGAAACGAUAGCUAAUACCGCAUAACAAUGGAUGACACAUGUCAUUUAUUUGAAAGGGGCAAUUGUUCCACUACAAGAUGGACCUGCGUUGUAUUAGCUAGUAGGUGAGGUAAUGGCUCACCUAGGCGACGAUACAUAGCCGACCUGAGAGGGUGAUCGGCCACACUGGGACUGAGACACGGCCCAGACUCCUACGGGAGGCAGCAGUAGGGAAUCUUCGGCAAUGGGGGCAACCCUGACCGAGCAACGCCGCGUGAGUGAAGAAGGUUUUCGGAUCGUAAAGCUCUGUUGUAAGUCAAGAACGGGUGUGAGAGUGGAAAGUUCACACUGUGACGGUAGCUUACCAGAAAGGGACGGCUAACUACGUGCCAGCAGCCGCGGUAAUACGUAGGUCCCGAGCGUUGUCCGGAUUUAUUGGGCGUAAAGCGAGCGCAGGCGGUUUGAUAAGUCUGAAGUUAAAGGCUGUGGCUCAACCAUAGUUCGCUUUGGAAACUGUCAAACUUGAGUGCAGAAGGGGAGAGUGGAAUUCCAUGUGUAGCGGUGAAAUGCGUAGAUAUAUGGAGGAACACCGGUGGCGAAAGCGGCUCUCUGGUCUGUAACUGACGCUGAGGCUCGAAAGCGUGGGGAGCGAACAGGAUUAGAUACCCUGGUAGUCCACGCCGUAAACGAUGAGUGCUAGGUGUUGGAUCCUUUCCGGGAUUCAGUGCCGCAGCUAACGCAUUAAGCACUCCGCCUGGGGAGUACGACCGCAAGGUUGAAACUCAAAGGAAUUGACGGGGGCCCGCACAAGCGGUGGAGCAUGUGGUUUAAUUCGAAGCAACGCGAAGAACCUUACCAGGUCUUGACAUCCCGAUGCUAUUUCUAGAGAUAGAAAGUUACUUCGGUACAUCGGUGACAGGUGGUGCAUGGUUGUCGUCAGCUCGUGUCGUGAGAUGUUGGGUUAAGUCCCGCAACGAGCGCAACCCCUAUUGUUAGUUGCCAUCAUUCAGUUGGGCACUCUAGCGAGACUGCCGGUAAUAAACCGGAGGAAGGUGGGGAUGACGUCAAAUCAUCAUGCCCCUUAUGACCUGGGCUACACACGUGCUACAAUGGUUGGUACAACGAGUUGCGAGUCGGUGACGGCGAGCUAAUCUCUUAAAGCCAAUCUCAGUUCGGAUUGUAGGCUGCAACUCGCCUACAUGAAGUCGGAAUCGCUAGUAAUCGCGGAUCAGCACGCCGCGGUGAAUACGUUCCCGGGCCUUGUACACACCGCCCGUCACACCACGAGAGUUUGUAACACCCGAAGUCGGUGAGGUAACCUUUUGGAGCCAGCCGCCUAAGGUGGGACAGAUGAUUGGGGUGA
This 1470-nucleotide ribosomal RNA is filed under the name uncultured organism. Its description in RNAcentral is "SSU rRNA". It matches the Rfam family "Bacterial small subunit ribosomal RNA". The record is from RNAcentral.